Molecule: ribosomal RNA, 481 nt
Filed under: uncultured bacterium
Lineage: Bacteria
Description: bacterial SSU rRNA
Rfam family: Bacterial small subunit ribosomal RNA
Source: RNAcentral
CUAAGAAUAUUCCACAAUGGACGGAAGUCUGAUGGAGCGACGCCGCGUGGAUGAAGAAGGCCGAAAGGUUGUAAAAUUCUUUUGCGGAUGAAGAAUAACCGGCGGAGGGAAUGCCGUCGGGAUGACGUUAGUCCGCGAAUAAGCCCCGGCUAAUUACGUGCCAGCAGCCGCGGUAACACGUAAGGGGCGAGCGUUGUUCGGAAUUAUUGGGCGUAAAGGGCGCGUAGGCGGCCUAGUAAGUCUGAUGUGAAAACCCCGGGCCCAACCCGGGAACUGCAUUGGAAACUGCGAGGCUUGAGUCACGGAGGGGGAAUCGGAAUUCCUGGUGUAGGGGUGAAAUCUGUAGAUAUCAGGAAGAACACCGGUGGCGAAGGCGGAUUUCCAGCCGAUGACUGACGCUGAGGCGCGAAAGUGCGGGGAGCAAACAGGAUUAGAUACCCUGGUAGUCCGCACUAUAAACGAUGCACACUAGGUGUCGGGG